Molecule: long non-coding RNA, 283 nt
Filed under: Sorghum bicolor (sorghum)
Lineage: Eukaryota; Viridiplantae; Streptophyta; Magnoliopsida; Poales; Poaceae
Description: long non-coding RNA (SBIC_LNC012119)
Source: RNAcentral
GGACUGACGACAUUCUCCCCAAGGCUAAUUCUAAGUUCUGCCAGGCAGAGUUCAAAUCCUCCAUUUCUGUUUGUGAUGAAUGUGUAAAAAUGCAUUGCCGUAACUCUUCCUCUAACUGUCUCUUCACCCUCUGUUUUCCCCCAGCCGUUGACAGAGUAUAUCCUGAAUGAUCUUUUAAAGUCACUGGCACAAUCUGUCUCCCCACUUUCCCUCUCUUGUUCACCGAAUUGGAGCCCAGUUGGGGCCAAUUUUUAUCCCAAUCUGAGCCAGAAGAGUUAAUAGA